UCGAGGGGUAUUGGUUUUCGGACCAAGAGACCGGCGCACGGGUGCGUAACGCGUAUGCAAUCUACCUUUUACAGAGGGAUAGCCCAGAGAAAUUUGGAUUAAUACCUCAUAGUAUUACGACUCGGCAUCGAGAUGUAAUUAAAGUCACAACGGUAAAAGAUGAGCAUGCGUCCCAUUAGCUAGAUGGUAAGGUAACGGCUUACCAUGGCAACGAUGGGUAGGGGUCCUGAGAGGGAGAUCCCCCACACUGGUACUGAGACACGGACCAGACUCCUACGGGAGGCAGCAGUGAGGAAUAUUGGUCAAUGGGCGCAAGCCUGAACCAGCCAUGCCGCGUGCAGGAUGAAGCAUCUAUGGUGUGUAAACUGCUUUUGUACGAGAAGAAACACUCCUUCGUGUAGGAGCUUGACGGUAUCGUAAGAAUAAGGACCGGCUAACUCCGUGCCAGCAGCCGCGGUAAUACGGAGGGUCCAAGCGUUAUCCGGAAUCAUUGGGUUUAAAGGGUCCGUAGGCGGUUUAGUAAGUCAGUGGUGAAAGCCCAUCGCUCAACGGUGGAACAGCCAUUGAUACUGCUAGACUUGAAUUAUUAGGAAGUAACUAGAAUAUGUAGUGUAGCGGUGAAAUGCUUAGAGAUUACAUGGAAUACCAAUUGCGAAGGCAGGUUACUACUAAUGGAUUGACGCUGAUGGACGAAAGCGUGGGGAGCGAACA
RNAcentral lists this ribosomal RNA (711 nucleotides) under uncultured Bacteroidota bacterium. RNAcentral describes it as "bacterial SSU rRNA". It matches the Rfam family "Bacterial small subunit ribosomal RNA", at positions 62 to 774 of the family's 1533-position model. The record is from RNAcentral. Lineage: Bacteria; Pseudomonadati; Bacteroidota.